UUGGGCGUAAAGCGUAUGUAGGCGGCCGAUCAAGUCAGACGUGUAAGCCCCCGGCUCAACCGGGGAAUUGCGUUUGAUACUAUUCGGCUUGAGUUCGGGAGAGGAAAGCGGAAUUCCCAGUGUAGCGGUGAAAUGCAUUGAUAUUGGGAAGAACAUCUGUGGCGAAGGCGGCUUUCUGGUCCGAUACUGACGCUGAGAUACGAAAGCCAGGGUAGCGAACGGGAUUA
This 227-nucleotide ribosomal RNA is filed under the name uncultured bacterium. RNAcentral's name for it is "partial 16S ribosomal RNA". It matches the Rfam family "Bacterial small subunit ribosomal RNA", at positions 554 to 780 of the family's 1533-position model. The record is from RNAcentral.